UCGUCUGUAGUCUCACCUCCGCCGGCUUGCUGGAUUGGAGUGGGACGAGACUGUGGGAAUACUUCUUAAGGGGACUGUGUGCGUCUAUAGCACGCGGAAGAGCGAGCCAAUAGCAGGUCUGUGAUGCUCCUAAAUGUCCUAGGCUGCACGCGCACUACACUGAUGCAAUAAACGAGUCUGAGUGCCUUCUGGCAACCUACCUGGAAGCGGGUGGGAAAUCUUUUGAACUUGCAUCGUGAUGAGGAUCGACGAUUGCAAUUAUUCUCCUUGAAUGAGGAAUGCCUAGUAGGCACAAGUCAUCAGCUUGUACUGAUUACGUCCCUGCCAUUUGUACACACCGCCCUGCU
Molecule: ribosomal RNA, 347 nt
Filed under: Massilia sp. YIM B02763
Lineage: Bacteria; Pseudomonadati; Pseudomonadota; Betaproteobacteria; Burkholderiales; Oxalobacteraceae
Description: bacterial SSU rRNA
Rfam family: Eukaryotic small subunit ribosomal RNA
Source: RNAcentral